Eupeodes corollae is the source of this 204-nucleotide small nucleolar RNA. RefSeq annotates it as small nucleolar RNA U3. Lineage: Eukaryota; Metazoa; Arthropoda; Insecta; Diptera; Syrphidae. The transcript has a single exon. The record is from RefSeq and is a predicted model, not a curated record.
AAGACUAUACUUCACAGGAUCAUUUCUGUAGUCAGUCUUCUCUUACUUUUGAAGAAAGUACGAAAUUAACAAACCUGCGAUGAAGAGGUAUAUCGUUUUAUCUACAGCGUGAGGUUUGACUGUUGUUCUAGCGGCUUGUUCGCAUUGAAUAACAUGUCGUCGAUGAUCGCUCGGUGAUAAUGGAUAAAACGACUUCGGAGUGGU